GGGAAUCUACCCAGAUCUACGGAACAACAGAGGGAAACUUCUGCUAAUACCGUAUACGCCCUACGGGGGAAAGAUUUAUCGGAUUUGGAUGAGCCCGCGUAAGAUUAGCUAGUUGGUGAGGUAACGGCUCACCAAGGCGACGAUCUUUAGCUGGUCUGAGAGGAUGAUCAGCCACACUGGGACUGAGACACGGCCCAGACUCCUACGGGAGGCAGCAGUGGGGAAUAUUGGACAAUGGGCGCAAGCCUGAUCCAGCCAUGCCGCGUGAGUGAUGAAGGCCUUAGGGUUGUAAAGCUCUUUCAGUGGGGAAGAUAAUGACGGUACCCACAGAAGAAGCCCCGGCUAACUUCGUGCCAGCAGCCGCGGUAAUACGAAGGGGGCUAGCGUUGUUCGGAUUUACUGGGCGUAAAGCGCACGUAGGCGGUUUGUUAAGUCAGAGGUGAAAUCCUGGAGCUCAACUCCAGAACUGCCUUUGAUACUGGCAAGCUCGAGUCCGGAAGAGGUAAGUGGAACUCCUAGU
This 520-nucleotide ribosomal RNA is filed under the name uncultured bacterium. RNAcentral's name for it is "bacterial SSU rRNA". It matches the Rfam family "Bacterial small subunit ribosomal RNA", at positions 120 to 674 of the family's 1533-position model. The record is from RNAcentral.